Serinus canaria (Common canary) is the source of this 681-nucleotide long non-coding RNA. RefSeq lists it as uncharacterized. NCBI's taxonomy places the organism in Eukaryota, Metazoa, Chordata, Aves, Passeriformes, Fringillidae. The transcript has 5 exons. The record is from RefSeq and is a predicted model, not a curated record.
AAGAAUCAGACUACAAGGCAUACUGCUUAUAACAGUAAUUUUAAAUGUUAAGCUAUGCUCCUGCUUUUUUAACAGGUUGGGCCAAAUGCAUCUUUGUUUUUAUUACCAAGUUUGCAGGGAAGUUGUGGAGAUGUGAGUUUGGUUUGUCUUCUGCACAAUUAUAUCUGACUUUCUUCUGAAGCUUCACUGGGAUCAGCUUCAUCUGGUUGGUUUUUGGGCAGAAGUUACUGAGAGUGGGAGAACUCAGAUCAAACGUUUCCUGAAGUGUGGUAGAAGGCAGGAAGAAUGACACUUGCUAAUUUGAAUUUCAGAAAGCACCUAAACUUCAUUCUGAUCUCCAGACAGGACACUAAACUUCCCUGACUUGAACAGGACACAUGAAAUGUGGGACUAAGUCUGUGUUUUCCAUAUUGAAGCAGGAUCUAGUCAGGAAAAGAACCCAACACUGUCAUAGAAAACAGGAUGUAUAAAGUGGAAUGUUGCUCAGGAAUGGACAAAAACCAGACAAACUAUUGGAAAAAAUGUCAAAAGGAAAGGAAAUGGCCUUCUGGAGGAUGAGGAAGAUGAGCAACAAAGAGACUGUCCAACAAUGUGAAAGAUCCAGAGGCAGCUCUAAAGCUCCAACACAAUUUUUCAUGGACUUUGUCAUCUUAGCUGCUUUGGCAUGUAGUCCAAUAAUUG